RNAcentral lists this transfer RNA (72 nucleotides) under Mus musculus (house mouse). RNAcentral's name for it is "tRNA-Thr". Lineage: Eukaryota; Metazoa; Chordata; Mammalia; Rodentia; Muridae. The record is from RNAcentral.
UCUUUAGCUCAGUGGUAGAGCAUUUGCCUGGUAUGUGAGGGGUUCUGGGUUUGAUCUCCAGCACUUAAAAAA